RNAcentral lists this ribosomal RNA (685 nucleotides) under Pseudomonadota bacterium. Its description in RNAcentral is "bacterial SSU rRNA". It matches the Rfam family "Bacterial small subunit ribosomal RNA", at positions 49 to 729 of the family's 1533-position model. Lineage: Bacteria; Pseudomonadati; Pseudomonadota. The record is from RNAcentral.
UUACACAUGCAAGUCGAACGGCAGCACGGGAGCAAUCCUGGUGGCGAGUGGCGAACGGGUGAGUAAUAUAUCGGAACGUGCCCAGUCGUGGGGGAUAACGCAGCGAAAGCUGUGCUAAUACCGCAUACGAUCUACGGAUGAAAGCGGGGGAUCGCAAGACCUCGCGCGAUUGGAGCGGCCGAUAUCAGAUUAGGUUGUUGGUGGGGUAAAAGCCCACCAAGCCGACGAUCUGUAGCUGGUCUGAGAGGACGACCAGCCACACUGGAACUGAGACACGGUCCAGACUCCUACGGGAGGCAGCAGUGGGGAAUUUUGGACAAUGGGCGCAAGCCUGAUCCAGCAAUGCCGCGUGCAGGAUGAAGGCCUUCGGGUUGUAAACUGCUUUUGUACGGAACGAAACGGUCUGCUCUAAUACAGCGGGCUAAUGACGGUACCGUAAGAAUAAGCACCGGCUAACUACGUGCCAGCAGCCGCGGUAAUACGUAGGGUGCGAGCGUUAAUCGGAAUUACUGGGCGUAAAGCGUGCGCAGGCGGUUAUAUAAGACAGAUGUGAAAUCCCCGGGCUCAACCUGGGACCUGCAUUUGUGACUGUAUAGCUAGAGUGCGGCAGAGGGGGAUGGAAUUCCGCGUGUAGCAGUGAAAUGCGUAGAUAUGCGGAGGAACACCGAUGGCGAAGGCAAUCCCC